Molecule: transfer RNA, 73 nt
Filed under: Sphenophryne schlaginhaufeni (Wandolleck's land frog)
Lineage: Eukaryota; Metazoa; Chordata; Amphibia; Anura; Microhylidae
Description: Liophryne schlaginhaufeni (Wandolleck's land frog) tRNA-Asn
Rfam family: tRNA
About the family: Transfer RNA (tRNA) molecules are approximately 80 nucleotides in length. Their secondary structure includes four short double-helical elements and three loops (D, anti-codon, and T loops).
Source: RNAcentral
UAGAAUGAAGCUCGCUGGAUAGAGUGUUUAGCUGUUAACUAAAAUUUUACGGGAUCGAAGCCCGUCUUUCUAG